Molecule: ribosomal RNA, 482 nt
Filed under: uncultured bacterium
Lineage: Bacteria
Description: partial 16S ribosomal RNA
Rfam family: Bacterial small subunit ribosomal RNA
Source: RNAcentral
GACGAACGCUGGCGGCGUGCCUAACACAUGCAAGUCGAACGGAACUGUUUUGAAAGAUUUCUUCGGACUGCAUUUGAUUUAGUUUAGUGGCGGACGGGUGAGUAACGCGUGAGUAACCUGCCUUCAAGGGGGGAAUAACAUUCUGAAAAGAAUGCUAAUACCGCAUGACAUAUCGGAACCACAUGGUUUUGAUAUCAAAGAUUUUAUCGCUUGAAGAUGGACUCGCGUCCGAUUAGUUAGUUGGUGAGGUAACGGCUCACCAAGACCGCGAUCGGUAGCCGGACUGAGAGGUUGAACGGCCACAUGGGGACUGAGACACGGCCCAGACUCCUACGGGAGGCAGCAGUGGGGGAUAUUGCGCAAUGGGGGCAACCCUGACGCAGCAACGCCGCGUGAAGGAUGAAGGUUUUCGGAUUGUAAACUUCUUUUAUUAAGGACGAAAAAUGACGGUACUUAAUGAAUAAGCUCCGGCUAACUACGUG